AUGGGCUGGCGGGCGGUCGCGUCGCGGUGUUUCGACACACGCGCCGAGGAACGUCCGGGCUGCACAGAGCAGAACGGUGGGUAACACCCACCCGGGGUGACCCGCGAGAAAGUGCAACAGAAAGUAGACCUGCCUGCUGGCGCUGUCAGUCGGUAAGGGUGAAAGGGUGGUGUAAGAGACCACCAGCGUUCGUGGUGACACGAGCGGCUAGGCAAACCUCGUUCGCAGCAAGGCCAGACAGAAGACGUUGACGCUGCUCGCUGAGUCUUCGGGUAGGCCGCUAGAGCCCGUCGGUAACGGCGGGCCGAGAGAGAUGACCGCACAGACUGGUUCGCCAGUUGGACAGGACCCGGCGUACAGCUAGCCCAUUCCC
RNAcentral lists this RNase P RNA (373 nucleotides) under Leucobacter sp. RNAcentral describes it as "RNase P RNA component class A". It matches the Rfam family "Bacterial RNase P class A". From Rfam's summary of the family: Ribonuclease P (RNase P) is a ubiquitous endoribonuclease, found in archaea, bacteria and eukarya as well as chloroplasts and mitochondria. Its best characterised activity is the generation of mature 5'-ends of tRNAs by cleaving the 5'-leader elements of precursor-tRNAs. Cellular RNase Ps are ribonucleoproteins. Lineage: Bacteria; Bacillati; Actinomycetota; Actinomycetes; Micrococcales; Microbacteriaceae. The record is from RNAcentral.